CACCCAAGGCACCAUUCAAUGAUGCUAGGACAGAAGAAUUCAGUGAAUCUAUGAGAUUGGUUACUCCAUCUGUCACGAUCCAUGCAUAUCCUUUGUUCAUCAUCCCUACUUCUUUUGCCUUUAUGAAGAAGGGGGAGGCCAAGGGAACACGGGCAUCGACUUCCUGCAGGGCAUCAACUAGGAAUGGCAUGAUUCCUCUACCGUAGUCAGUGUCUUCAUAGAUAGGCACCACCUUUCUCCACCCAUAGGUUUUAACUAUGGAGGCAAUGGAAUUCACCUGUGCUGAGUCAUUCAUUGUUGCUCGCACAAAAUAUGGAAGACUUUUAGAUGAUAGAGAUGGGCUUGUUGCCGUGAACGAUAUGACUGGGACAUGGCUUUUAUUUCCAAGUUUUGAGAUAAAUAUAGCCUGUGAAGAUUUCUGAGGACCAAUGAUGGCUUCUACAUUGUAAUUUUCCAGCAGGUCAACAGCUGUAUAUUACAUAUGAAGAUAAAAUUUAGUCAAAAAUCUUACAUUAAAGGAAAUUCAUAAUAUGCAAGUCACAAAUAAGUGAAUACAGUUAUUUGACAUGAAACCUGGUAAUAUAACGUGUAAGACAGUGCCACAAGCCAACAACAGAAGAAACGAGUCUCCAAGUUGCACUCAUGCAAAAAGUUGCAGAUGCAAUCCAAAUGUUGGGGUGGUGUGAUUUCAGAGAUGUUGCCAUGUACAAUGUAUAGAAGAGCGAAUUAGGUGAUAACUACAGAAUAGUUAUCUGAUUCGAAACUAGGAUAAUUUAUCAUGCACAUAUUGUAUUGCUUCAUCUUGAUGGCUCCGAAAUAUCAGUUCCUCAUGCACAUAAUGAAUUGUUUAUUACUGUGUCUGUGAUCACGUGAAGGGUAUAUUAUGGAACAGAUGCUGCUUGAUACAACAAAAUAGUACAGCAAGCAAUUAUGCAACUUAAACAUGGACAGUUGUUCUGUUGUUUUUUGUCCAAACCAUUAAAAUAGUUGCUACAUCUACUCCUUAUGUAGUUUGCAGGUAGUCACAUUUUUCCUAGUUUCUGCAUUAAUUAUAUUGGCUCAUUUUUUUGUUGGUAGAUAUCACCAUUACUAGUAUCAGUUUUAUGGUUAAUUCUCUUGAAGUCUAUAUCUCAGUCUCGGAAACCACAUCAAAGAGUGUGCCAUUUGUUUUGCUGUUCUCCAUUUAUCAAUAUCCACUUUACCCAGUUUUGGCAACCUGCAGGAAUUAAGCCAGGGUUUUACUCCUUUCAGUUGAGGCUGGAACAUUCAACAAUAUGCUUAUUGCCACAGCAGCAAAACUGGCACUUGUGUUACUGAUGCAACCCCCGGUGAAGAAAAAGGCAGUAACUUUCCCACUGUUAUCUUGGGAACAAUUUGUUGUGAAAAUGUCAAUUUCAGUUACGUAGUAAUGUUAUAUGAUGCUCAUUGGCUUCCUAAUUCUACUACUCCCUCCGUUCCUUCUCAUAAGAUGUUCUAGUUUUGUCCUAAAUCAAAUUUCUUAAAGUUUGAACAAGUUUAUAGAAAAGUCUACCAACAUCUAUAACUUAAAUUUGUUUUAUCAAAUCCGUCAAAAUAUAUAUCUUCAUAGUAUAAUUUGAUAUUAUAGCUACUAGUAUAUUUUUCUAUAGACUUUAUCAAAAUUUAAGAUGUUUGACUUGGGACAAAGCUAGAACGUCUUGCAAAAAGAAAUGGGGGGAGUAGUUGGACUUGGUAGUGCACUUGUUAUUAAAUGGGUCAUCUUUGAUUUUCUGCUAAAAUUGGGAGUUCCUUUAUUUCAAGGUAGAGCUCUUCUGCUUGGUUCACCCAUAACCACUUGCACUAACCCACCCAACGAGGCAACGACUGAGGCUUGGUUCCUAAGAUGCAGAGUUGAUGAAUGAAGUUCGGGAGUUCUUAACCAUUCUAUUUCAGCAUAAUAAGGUAUGCAGUGAACUCAUAUCAAAAGUCCAGAACAUUUACCUUGA
This is a long non-coding RNA of Brachypodium distachyon (stiff brome), 1964 nucleotides long. RefSeq lists it as uncharacterized. The transcript has 3 exons. The record is from RefSeq and is a predicted model, not a curated record. Lineage: Eukaryota; Viridiplantae; Streptophyta; Magnoliopsida; Poales; Poaceae.